CCCUUAGAUGUCCGGGGCCGCACGCGCGCUACACUGAAGGAAUCAACGUGUGUCCUCCCUGGCCCGGAAGGGUGGGGUAACCCGUUGAACCUCCUUCGUGCUAGGGAUUGGGGAUUGGAACUGUUCCCCAUGAACGAGGAAUUCCCAGUAAGCGCGAGUCAUAAGCUCGCGUUGAUUACGUCCCUGCCCUUUGUACACACCGCCCGUCGCUACUACCGAUUGGAUGGUUUAGUGAGAUCUUCGGAUUGGUCCUGGCGUGGCUGGCAACAGUCGUGCCACGGUGCCGAGAAGAUGAUCGAACUUGAUCGUCUAGAGGGAGUAAAAGUCGUAACA
This 333-nucleotide ribosomal RNA is filed under the name uncultured eukaryote. RNAcentral describes it as "partial 18S ribosomal RNA". It matches the Rfam family "Eukaryotic small subunit ribosomal RNA", at positions 1470 to 1796 of the family's 1831-position model. The record is from RNAcentral.